ACAUCCAGCGAACUUGGCAGAGAUGCCUUGGUGCCUUCGGGAACGCUGAGACAGGUGCUGCAUGGCUGUCGUCAGCUCGUGUUGUGAAAUGUUGGGUUAAGUCCCCGNAACGAGCGCAACCCUUAUCCUUUGUUGCCAGCGAUUCGGUCGGGAACUCAAAGGAGACUGCCGGUGAUAAACCGGAGGAAGGUGGGGAUGACGUCAAGUCAUCAUGGCCCUUACGAGUAGGGCUACACACGUGCUACAAUGGCGCAUACAAAGAGAAGCGACCUCGCGAGAGCAAGCGGACCUCAUAAAGUGCGUCGUAGUCCGGAUCGGAGUCUGCAACUCGACUCCGUGAAGUCGGAAUCGCUAGUAAUCGUGGAUCAGAAUGCCACGGUGAAUACGUUCCCGGGCCUUGUACACACCGCCCGUCACACCAUGGGAGUGGGUUGCAAAAGAAGUAGGUAGCUUAACCUCCGGGAGGGCGCUUACCACUUUGUGAUUCAUGACUGGGGUGAAGUCGUAACAAGGUAGGCGUAGCGAG
Molecule: ribosomal RNA, 526 nt
Filed under: uncultured bacterium
Lineage: Bacteria
Description: bacterial SSU rRNA
Rfam family: Bacterial small subunit ribosomal RNA
Source: RNAcentral